UACGUAGGCAGCGAGCGUUGUUCGGAAUUACUGGGCGUAAAGAGUGUGUAGGCGGUGCUCUAAGUUCGGUGUGAAAUCUCCCGGCUUAACUGGGAGGGUGCGCCGGAAACUGGAGUGCUCGAGCGUGGGAGAGGAAAGCGGAAUUCCUGGUGUAGCGGUGAAAUGCGUAGAUAUCAGGAGGAACACCUGCGGUGUAGACGGCUUUCUGGACCAUUGCUGACGCUGAGACACGAAAGCGUGGGGAUCAAACAGG
This 253-nucleotide ribosomal RNA is filed under the name uncultured bacterium. RNAcentral's name for it is "partial 16S ribosomal RNA". It matches the Rfam family "Bacterial small subunit ribosomal RNA", at positions 524 to 776 of the family's 1533-position model. The record is from RNAcentral.